AGCAUUCUACAAACAUUUCUCCAUCAGCAUCAAAUAUCCCACUAUCGCCUCCUUCGAACAUGUCACCACCACCUCAAUAUCCUACUGAUGACGCUUACCACCAGCCACCUCACUAUCCUACUGAUGACUCUUACCACCAGCCACCUCAAUAUCCUAAUGAUGACUCCUACCACCAGCCACCUCAAUAUCAUAAUGAUGACACUUACCACCAGCCACCUCACUAUCCUACUGAUGACUCUUACCACCAGCCACCUCAAUAUCCUAAUGAUGACUCCUACCACCAGCCACCUCAAUAUCAUAAUGAUGACACUUACCACCAGCCACCUCACUAUCCUACUGAUGACUCUUACCACCAGCCACCUCAAUAUCCUACCGAUGACACUUACCACCAGCCACCUUCAAGCAACAGAACAGAACAUUCUCCUUAUUCUCAUCAGCCGUAUCAUCCUCCACCCUACCAUCAAGAACCAAAGCAGCACUUACCGCAACAGUACCAUCCUCACGACGUUCCCCCAUACUCAUAUCCUAAUUUC
RNAcentral lists this long non-coding RNA (533 nucleotides) under Olea europaea (common olive). RNAcentral's name for it is "long non-coding RNA (OEUR_LNC007499)". Lineage: Eukaryota; Viridiplantae; Streptophyta; Magnoliopsida; Lamiales; Oleaceae. The record is from RNAcentral.